This 23-nucleotide non-coding RNA is filed under the name Arabidopsis thaliana (thale cress). Lineage: Eukaryota; Viridiplantae; Streptophyta; Magnoliopsida; Brassicales; Brassicaceae. The record is from RNAcentral.
AGAGUGCCAAAUGUCGCAUUAGU